Molecule: long non-coding RNA, 252 nt
Organism: Nicotiana tabacum (common tobacco)
Lineage: Eukaryota; Viridiplantae; Streptophyta; Magnoliopsida; Solanales; Solanaceae
Source: RefSeq, a predicted model, not a curated record
CCCAUUCUUCCCCGACCUUUUCCUACUUCUAUCUUCCCUCUUUCUCUAUUACAAAGCAUUAUAAAAAAUGGAAGACACCUUGUAUUGUCAUUGCGGUAAAAGGGCAGAAUUGAUAAUUUCGUGGUCACAAAAUAACCCGGGUCACAGGUAUCUUGGAUGCCAAUAUGGUCGAGAUGUAAGUAUUUUAAGUGGUUUGAAGAUGAAUUUCCUGAACAAGCUAGGAUUGUAAUUUAGGAAUUUUUGAAGAGGAUA